RNAcentral lists this ribosomal RNA (430 nucleotides) under Klebsiella pneumoniae. RNAcentral's name for it is "partial 23S ribosomal RNA". It matches the Rfam family "Bacterial large subunit ribosomal RNA", at positions 2501 to 2925 of the family's 2925-position model. Lineage: Bacteria; Pseudomonadati; Pseudomonadota; Gammaproteobacteria; Enterobacterales; Enterobacteriaceae. The record is from RNAcentral.
CAUAUCGACGGCGGUGUUUGGCACCUCGAUGUCGGCUCAUCACAUCCUGGGGCUGAAGUAGGUCCCAAGGGUAUGGCUGUUCGCCAUUUAAAGUGGUACGCGAGCUGGGUUUAGAACGUCGUGAGACAGUUCGGUCCCUAUCUGCCGUGGGCGCUGGAGAAUUGAGGGGGGCUGCUCCUAGUACGAGAGGACCGGAGUGGACGCAUCACUGGUGUUCGGGUUGUCAUGCCAAUGGCACUGCCCGGUAGCUAAAUGCGGAAGAGAUAAGUGCUGAAAGCAUCUAAGCACGAAACUUGCCCCGAGAUGAGUUCUCCCUGAGACUUUAAGUCUCCUGAAGGAACGUUAAAGACGAUGACGUUGAUAGGCCGGGUGUGUAAGCGCAGCGAUGCGUUGAGCUAACCGGUACUAAUGAACCGUGAGGCUUAACCUU